This 253-nucleotide ribosomal RNA is filed under the name uncultured bacterium. Its description in RNAcentral is "partial 16S ribosomal RNA". It matches the Rfam family "Bacterial small subunit ribosomal RNA", at positions 524 to 776 of the family's 1533-position model. RNAcentral also lists the same sequence under 2 other names. The record is from RNAcentral.
UACGGAGGGUGCGAGCGUUAAUCGGAAUUACUGGGCGUAAAGCGCACGUAGGUGGUCAGGCAAGUCGGGUGUGAAAGCCCUGGGCUCAACCUGGGAAUUGCAUUCGAAACUAUCUGACUCGAGUAUGGGAGAGGGAAGCGGAAUUUCCGGUGUAGCGGUGAAAUGCGUAGAUAUCGGAAGGAACACCAGUGGCGAAGGCGGCUUCCUGGACUAAUACUGACACUGAGGUGCGAAAGCGUGGGGAGCAAACAGG